GCCGGGGUAGUCUAGGGGCUAGGCAGCGGACUGCAGAUCCGCCUUACGUGGGUUCAAAUCCCACCCCCGGCUCCA
This 75-nucleotide transfer RNA is filed under the name Methanocaldococcus jannaschii. RNAcentral describes it as "RNA (71-MER) from Methanocaldococcus jannaschii (PDB 2ZZN, chain D)". It matches the Rfam family "tRNA". Rfam says of the family: Transfer RNA (tRNA) molecules are approximately 80 nucleotides in length. Their secondary structure includes four short double-helical elements and three loops (D, anti-codon, and T loops). Lineage: Archaea; Methanobacteriati; Methanobacteriota; Methanococci; Methanococcales; Methanocaldococcaceae. RNAcentral also lists the same sequence under 9 other names. The record is from RNAcentral.